Molecule: long non-coding RNA, 1083 nt
Organism: Triticum aestivum (bread wheat)
Lineage: Eukaryota; Viridiplantae; Streptophyta; Magnoliopsida; Poales; Poaceae
Exons: 3
Source: RefSeq, a predicted model, not a curated record
AAACGCAGGGAGGAGUACAUAGUUCCUCGCAAGCUUUCAGAGAAUGAUUUUGUUGUUAUAAAGGAAGUCUCCACCAGGGGUAAGGAGGAACAUAUUGCAGCCAUCAAAUUGAAUGGAAAGAGAAUUAUGGACCACUGGCAUCCCAUUCUGUGUGGCUUUCUCUCAAAUGAUGAACCUUUAAUCAACUCUAAAAAGAAGAAGCGAAAGGUUAAGGAUGUUGUUGCUACUCAACCCAUGAAAUCUAGAGAGGUUGUGACCAAGAAAUUCGCCACUCACAAGACCCUGAGGUGAUGGUUGUAUCAGGGAAAGGCGCAAAGAUGGUGCAGUUUCAUCAAGGACACGUUUAUGGAUGCUACGGAUUUCAUAGUGAAACGAGCCCUCGAAGGACUGAACGACUCUACCCUUGGUGAUCCCGAGCGACACAUCAUGCUUGAGAGUGUUUCUCAGACGCUGCCCACGCAAGUGCCUGAGGUAGCUAAGGUGCAGGCCAUGUUGGUCGGGCUUAUUGACCUUUCCAAGAAGUUGGAGGGUGGCCAGACCGAAUUCAUGAAAGAAUCCGAGCGAGAUGAACAUGUUGUUGCUGAAAUAGAACUUAAGAUUAAGUCUGGCCAUGAAGUUUCCAAGGACAUAAUUGGGGACUUAUCUGCCGUGUAAAAGAAGUGCACUGAAAUGGAGGCACGGGAAGCAGAACUGAAGGCCCAGCUUGAAGAGGUUACUGCUACUUUGCACAAGCUUAAAUUGGAAAUGGAACAGCGCCGACAAGCACAUGAUGCCCAUCAAUCUGAACAGAAGAAGUUGCUGAAGAGUCUACAGGAUACCAAUGCUGGCAAACGUACAAGGCUUGCUAAAUUUAAACAAAAGACAACAGAUUUAAAGACCGAAGGAAGUCAGUUGUUGAACAACCUGCAGAACUGGCGAGCCCCUUGAGAGGGCGUCGACUUCGUCUGGUUUUUUUGUUCAUUUCAAACCAUCAUUCCGCUUCGAACCAUUUAAUUUCAGUCUUCAGUUUCAAUUCAGAUGUAUCAGUACUUUCUUUAUUCACGUGGGAACUCCAAAUUUUAUGCAUGAUGUAUUAGUAUGCCA